RNAcentral lists this microRNA precursor (103 nucleotides) under Marmota monax (woodchuck). Lineage: Eukaryota; Metazoa; Chordata; Mammalia; Rodentia; Sciuridae. The record is from RNAcentral.
AGCAUAAUUUCUGGAUCAUAGGGUAAGAGUAUAGUUAGUUUUGGAAGAAACUGCCAAACUGUCUUCCAAAGUGACUGUACCAUUUUGCAUUUUCACUAACAAU